This 460-nucleotide ribosomal RNA is filed under the name uncultured bacterium. RNAcentral's name for it is "partial 16S ribosomal RNA". It matches the Rfam family "Bacterial small subunit ribosomal RNA", at positions 338 to 795 of the family's 1533-position model. The record is from RNAcentral.
CCUACGGGUGGCAGCAGUGAGGAAUAUUGGUCAAUGGGCGCUAGCCUGAACCAGCCAAGUAGCGUGAAGGAUGACUGCCCUAUGGGUUGUAAACUUCUUUUAUAUGGGAAUAAAAUGUUCCACGUGUGGGAUUUUGUAUGUACCAUAUGAAUAAGGAUCGGCUAACUCCGUGCCAGCAGCCGCGGUAAUACGGAGGAUCCGAGCGUUAUCCGGAUUUAUUGGGUUUAUAGGGAGCAUAGGUGGAUUGUUAAUUCAGGUGUGAAAGUUUGCGGCUCAACCGUAAAAUUGCAGUUGAAACUGGCAGUCUUGAGUACAGUAGAGGUGGGCGGAAUGCGUGGUGUAGCGGUGAAAUGCUUAGAUAUCACGAAGAACUCCGAUUGCGAAGGCAGCUCACUGGACUGCAACUGACACUGAGGCUCGAAAGUGUGGGUAUCAAACAGGAUUAGAUACCCGGGUAGUC